Molecule: ribosomal RNA, 465 nt
Filed under: Vreelandella stevensii
Lineage: Bacteria; Pseudomonadati; Pseudomonadota; Gammaproteobacteria; Oceanospirillales; Halomonadaceae
Description: partial 16S ribosomal RNA
Rfam family: Bacterial small subunit ribosomal RNA
Source: RNAcentral
CCUACGGAAGGCUGCAGUGGGGAAUAUUGGACAAUGGGGGGAACCCUGAUCCAGCCAUGCCGCGUGUGUGAAGAAGGCCCUCGGGUUGUAAAGCACUUUCAGUGAGGAAGAACGCCUGGUGGUUAAUACCCAUCAGGAAAGACAUCACUCACAGAAGAAGCACCGGCUAACUCCGUGCCAGCAGCCGCGGUAAUACGGAGGGUGCGAGCGUUAAUCGGAAUUACUGGGCGUAAAGCGCGCGUAGGUGGCUUGAUAAGCCGGUUGUGAAAGCCCCGGGCUCAACCUGGGAACGGCAUCCGGAACUGUCAAGCUAGAGUGCAGGAGAGGAAGGUAGAAUUCCCGGUGUAGCGGUGAAAUGCGUAGAGAUCGGGAGGAAUACCAGUGGCGAAGGCGGCCUUCUGGACUGACACUGACACUGAGGUGCGAAAGCGUGGGUAGCAAACAGGAUUAGAUACCCUAGUAGUC